Bos taurus (domestic cattle) is the source of this 72-nucleotide non-coding RNA. The record is from Rfam. NCBI's taxonomy places the organism in Eukaryota, Metazoa, Chordata, Mammalia, Artiodactyla, Bovidae.
UCCCUGGUGGCUCAGAGGUUAAAGCCUCCGCCUGCAAUGCGGAAGACCUGGGUUCAAUCCCUGGGUUGGGAA